This 541-nucleotide ribosomal RNA is filed under the name uncultured bacterium. RNAcentral's name for it is "bacterial SSU rRNA". It matches the Rfam family "Bacterial small subunit ribosomal RNA", at positions 777 to 1314 of the family's 1533-position model. The record is from RNAcentral.
AAUAGAUACCCGGGUAGUCCAUGCCGUAAACGUUGGGAACUAGAUGUGGGGACCAUUCCACGGUCUCCGUGUCGCAGCUAACGCAUUAAGUUCCCCGCCUGGGGAGUACGGCCGCAAGGCUAAAACUCAAAGGAAUUGACGGGGGGCCCGCACAAGCGGCGGAGCAUGCGGAUUAAUUCGAUGCAACGCGAAGAACCUUACCAAGGCUUGACAUAUACGAGAACGCCGUAGAAAUACGGAACUCUUUGGACACUCGUAUACAGGUGGUGCAUGGUUGUCGUCAGCUCGUGUCGUGAGAUGUUGGGUUAAGUCCCGCAACGAGCGCAACCCUCGUCGUAUGUUGCCAGCACGUAAUGGUGGGAACUCAUAUGAGACUGCCGGGGUCAACUCGGAGGAAGGUGGGGAUGAGGUCAAAUCAUCAUGCCCCUUAUGUCUUGGGCUUCACGCAUGCUACAAUGGCCGGUACAAAGGGCUGCAAUACCGCGAGGUGGAGCGAAUCCCAAAAAGCCGGUCUCAGUUCGGAUUGAGGUCUGCAACUCCG